GCUCCCAUAGCUCAGUUGGUUAGAGCAUCUGACUCAUAAUCAGAGGGUCACAGGUUCGAGCCCUGUUGGGAGCA
This 74-nucleotide transfer RNA is filed under the name Flammeovirga kamogawensis. RNAcentral describes it as "tRNA-Ile". It matches the Rfam family "tRNA". Rfam says of the family: Transfer RNA (tRNA) molecules are approximately 80 nucleotides in length. Their secondary structure includes four short double-helical elements and three loops (D, anti-codon, and T loops). Lineage: Bacteria; Pseudomonadati; Bacteroidota; Cytophagia; Cytophagales; Flammeovirgaceae. The record is from RNAcentral. RNAcentral also lists the same sequence under 5 other names.